RNAcentral lists this ribosomal RNA (253 nucleotides) under uncultured bacterium. RNAcentral's name for it is "partial 16S ribosomal RNA". It matches the Rfam family "Bacterial small subunit ribosomal RNA", at positions 524 to 776 of the family's 1533-position model. The record is from RNAcentral.
UACGGAGGGUGCGAGCGUUGUCCGGAAUCACUGGGCGUAAAGGGCGCGUAGGUGGCGCGGGCAGUCAACGGUGAAAGUUCGGGGCUCAACCCUGAAUCGGCCGUCGAUACUCCCGGGCUUGAGCACUGUAGAGGCUAGUGGAAUUUCCGGUGUAGCGGUGAAAUGCGUAGAUAUCGGAAGGAACACCUGUGGCGAAAGCGGCUCACUGGACCACAACUGACGCUGAUGCACGAAAGCUAGGGGAGCAAACAGG